CCCAUUUGAUUGCGUUUACUUCAUUCUAAAAUUGAACAGUGAGAAUAAGUUGGAGUCUUCACUUCCACUACAAAUGACAGCUUACGAAAGAUAAAGGUGGACAGCAGCGCUCAGUUUUGCUAUGCGAUCCUGGCACUGGUAAAAAAAGCUGCACAUGGGAGUGAGAACUGUUCUGAUGAUGACAAGAGACUGCAGUACCAUAUGACCUUAACUACAACUACCUGCAGAUGUCUGUCUAUUGCCUGUUGCCAGAGUCUAACCAUUACACGAGUGCUGUAUACUGAUGACAAUCCUGAAUGAUCAAAACCAAGACUUACCUGAAUGAAAAGGAAACUGCUGCUUGGCUUCACCAGUGUGGGCAUCCCAAAUAAUUGUGGUCUGUAUUAAACAGAUACGUAAACAAUAAACAAACUUACACAAA
Molecule: long non-coding RNA, 421 nt
Organism: Falco peregrinus (peregrine falcon)
Lineage: Eukaryota; Metazoa; Chordata; Aves; Falconiformes; Falconidae
Exons: 3
Source: RefSeq, a predicted model, not a curated record